RNAcentral lists this ribosomal RNA (253 nucleotides) under uncultured bacterium. Its description in RNAcentral is "partial 16S ribosomal RNA". It matches the Rfam family "Bacterial small subunit ribosomal RNA", at positions 524 to 776 of the family's 1533-position model. The record is from RNAcentral.
UACGUAGGGUGCAAGCGUUGUCCGGAAUUAUUGGGCGUAAAGAGCUCGUAGGCGGUCUGUCGCGUCUGCUGUGAAAAUCCAGGGCUCAACCCUGGACCUGCAGUGGGUACGGGCAGACUAGAGUGCGGUAGGGGAGAUCGGAAUUCCUGGUAUAGCGGUGAAAUGCGCAGAUAUCAGGAGGAACACCGGUGGCGAAGGCGGAUCUCUGGGCCAUUACUGACGCUGAGGAGCGAAAGCGUGGGGAGCGAACAGG